Molecule: ribosomal RNA, 167 nt
Filed under: uncultured bacterium
Lineage: Bacteria
Description: partial 16S rRNA
Rfam family: Bacterial small subunit ribosomal RNA
Source: RNAcentral
UAGGGAAUCUUCGGCAAUGGGGGCGAACCCUGACCGAAGCAACGCCGCGUGAGUGAAGAAGAUUUUCGGAUCGUAAAGCUCUGUUGUAAGAGAAGAACGUGUGUGAGAGUGGAAAGUUCACACAGUGACGGUAACUUACCAGAAAGGGACGGCUAACUACGUACCAG